This 983-nucleotide long non-coding RNA is filed under the name Olea europaea subsp. europaea. The record is from RNAcentral. Lineage: Eukaryota; Viridiplantae; Streptophyta; Magnoliopsida; Lamiales; Oleaceae.
GUUGACACCAAAAAAGAUGAGAAGGGAAAUAUAAUUUAACACACAAGGAAGAUUUUUCAUUUUACCAAACAAGGUAACUAUUCAAGAAAGUGACAGAGUGGUUUUUAUAUGCUGGCAUCAAUUGAAAGAUAAAUAUAAUUUCUCAAUGAUACAUAUUUACUGAAGGUCAAAUUCAUAUUACUUCAUAGUUCACAGUACAAAAUCUCAUAAUUAUAAUAAUAUUGUGAGACAUUUUAUAUAAUCUGAGCAUCUACAUCACUUGGAUACCAAAUAAAUAAUGUCAUAUCAUUAUCAAAAUAAAAUCAUCAGCUGAAAUGUGUCCUCGGAAAAUGUAAUGUCAUCAUAUCAUUAUAUACUAGAAAAUCCACAAAAAAUGUACGUCUGUUUAUUCAAGCCUAACAGAUAAGGUUACAAGCAGAAUACAACAAUAGCGAGUCUCUAAAUUGCUGAUGAUAUUUAUGAAUUAGUUAUCCUAGUGCAGCGGCCUCAUAGUUCAAUAACCCAGUCCUAACUGUAGAAUUAUGAAUGAGAGCUUUAGUAGAAGGCAUUUUUAUUUACAUAAUGUUCACGAAUAAAACCGAAAAGGUUAUAGAAAUAAAUUACCUCAGCAAGAAGGUUCUCAGCAUCAGAGAAGUCGUCCUUUUCCCUCUUUAGGAGUUCAAGAUGAGCACUGAAAUCAUGCUUCUGUUUUUCUGCCUGGUAAAGAUACCUUGGGGAGAUGAAGUCAUUGGCCAGGAGUUCUUUCGUUCAUUGGGUAAUAAACAAACAGAAGAAAGGUCAGAUCAAGUUUCACAAAAUUACAGGCUGCCUCAGAUUUAGGUAAUGCACAGAGGUAGAAGCAAUUUAAAGCAGUUAGAAGGCAUGAAAUGCACAAUAACUGCUGCCAAGAAGCUUUUUGAAAAAUCUCAUGGACAAACAGUUGGCCAUUUUAAGUAACAAAACCAUCAAGUUUUGCUGGUUUGCAACCACAGGCCAAUUUCAUA